RNAcentral lists this ribosomal RNA (331 nucleotides) under Ancylus fluviatilis. RNAcentral's name for it is "partial 16S ribosomal RNA". Lineage: Eukaryota; Metazoa; Mollusca; Gastropoda; Ancylidae. The record is from RNAcentral. RNAcentral also lists the same sequence under 5 other names.
AAUUAUUUCUGCCCAGUGUAUAUAAUAUUAACGGCCGCAGUACUUUGACUGUGCUAAGGUAGCAUAAUCAAUUGGCUUUUAAUUUGAGUCUGGAAUGAAAGGAUUUAUGGGGAUUUACUGUUUCAAAUGUAUAAUAUUGAAUUUAUUAAAAAAGUGAAAAUACUUUUUUUUAAAAAAAAGACGAGAAGACCCUAAGAAUUUUUAGAAUAUAUUUAUACAAUUAUUUCUUUUUGUUGGGGCGACAAUUAAACAAUUAAACUUUAAUUAUUUUUUAAUCGGUUUUUUCAGUAAAAAAUAAAUUACCUUAGGGAUAACAGCAUAAUUUAAAAAA